ACGUAUUUUAAGAAUCUAAGCUACCCACACAUGGACCAAUGGGGUAGGACCAAACAUAUUAGCCGUAAAUACUACACAUAGCCACAAGGGGAGCAGGACAUUACUGAAGGCUGCAAUAGAUACUUUAGCCACAGAGGGCAGCACCACAGACCAGGCGAGGAAAGCCGGGAUUACGUCACACCGGUUCCUCACAAUACUUCCGGACCGCGCUGAUCAGAUCAUAACAGCCUACAGAUCCACAUUGUCCUCAGAAUUCUUCCGGCAGCGAUUAGACAUACGUGGGUUUAUGGGCUAUGAUCAGCUAGGAGAACGCUCGCACGUGCUUAGAACACAUCUUCAAUCUCUCUUUGCUUCAGAGUAUCAGUUUACCAUACCGAAAAUACUUUAUACUAAAUAAAGUCUCUUUAAAGCUAUUCCUUUGGAUUCGACCCCUCUUUCCUGGAAGAACUCUGCAAUUGCAAGAUCUGAUCGGCUCCCGCCGUAAACCCCGCCCUUUCUACAAAUCAGCCAAUGAGAAGAGCCUUGGGGCACUAAACUUCUGGCCCCACCGCCGAAACAGAAGCGGGCGCUGCGCACGCGCUUGCUCGCGCAACAGCACCAGUUUUCUACACUGCAGCAGACGGGGCCAUCUCGGCUGUGCCCCACCGAGCGGAAAUGACGAGACGAAGCAACGAACUAUUUCACACACAACUACUACACUACAACAAUUGCGUUCAUCAAAUUAAAACUGCGGACAUGUAAUUAAUUAUUAACAAUUAAUGUAUUAUUAACUUAUGCUCAAUGACAUUUUUGAAAAAAAAAAAGAAAAGUAUAAUCGUGCCCUGCACGGCAGCGUUCUCUGGUGGGGCCGUGCCCCA
Long non-coding RNA from Gadus macrocephalus (Pacific cod), 857 nucleotides. RefSeq lists it as uncharacterized. The record is from RefSeq and is a predicted model, not a curated record. The transcript is spliced from 2 exons. Lineage: Eukaryota; Metazoa; Chordata; Actinopteri; Gadiformes; Gadidae.